UGGGGAAUAUUUCUCAAUGGAGGGAACCCUGAUGCAGCGACGCCGCGUGAACGAAGAAGGCUUUCGAGUCGUAAAGUUCUUUUAUAUGGGAAGAUAAUGACGGUACCAUAAGAAAAAGCCCCGGCUAACUACUUGCCAGCAGCCGCGGUAAUACGUAGGGGGCUAGCGUUGUCCGGAAUCACUGGGCGUAAAGGGUGCGCAGGCGGAAAUGCAAGUCAGGUGUAAAAGGCAGUAGCUUAACUACUGUAAGCAUUUGAAACUGCAUAUCGUGAGAAGAGUAGAGGUAAGUGGAAUUUUUAGUGUAGCGGUGAAAUGCGUAGAUAUUAGAAAGAAUACCGGUGGCGAAGGCGACUUACUGGGCUCAUUCUGACGCUGAGGAACGAAAGCGUGGGAAGCAAACAGG
RNAcentral lists this ribosomal RNA (403 nucleotides) under Bacteroidota bacterium. Its description in RNAcentral is "Bacteroidetes bacterium partial 16S ribosomal RNA". It matches the Rfam family "Bacterial small subunit ribosomal RNA", at positions 355 to 776 of the family's 1533-position model. Lineage: Bacteria; Pseudomonadati; Bacteroidota. The record is from RNAcentral.